GGUGGAAGUCCGCAGCCCGGGAGCGCCGCUUCUCCCUAGCGCCUUGUAGCAGUGGGUUAAAAAAAAAACAGAACAGUACGGACCCUCCAGCGAGACUGGCGUUUACACUUCGGCCACUCCUUUAGCCUCCAUUUGGGGAUUUGGUCCAGGGACAGACGCUGAGAAGAAAUAACAGCGUGGAAGCCAAGUCCUCCAUUUACUAUUGGCUGUCUAACAUCACACUUCCCACCACCUACGGUCUGUGCCUGACCCUGUGUGCUUACACUGACAUCUUGCACGGUGAUGGGAGCCCAAUACAUCUCCAACAAUUCAGCCUGUGAAAGAGGAGCCCUGAUUGGCCGUCGGUGGUGGCAGCGCAUUUAAUCCCUGCACUCCAGAGGCAGAGGCAGGCGGAUCUCUGAGUUUGAGGCCAACUUGGUCUAUAGAAUUGAGUUCCAAGACAGCCAGGGAUACACAGAGAAACCCUGUCUCAAAAUGAAUAAAUAAAAUAAAAAAGAAAAGUACAUGUAUUGUAGAUUUGACUUCCAAUCUGAAGCCUAUUGGGAGUCUAGUGUAAAUUGAAUCAUAGUAUGGGACCUCUUACUGGCUUUUGAUUCCGGGUUGCCUGUGAGGUGAGCAGCUUUAUCCUAGCAAGAGAACAGAGCCAGCCGGCCACAGACUUACAAAGCUAGGCAACACUUCAUCUCCUUUAAGUUGCUUACUAAUACAAAUGGACUGGGGAGAUGGCUUAGCAGUCCAUUGCUAUACAGUUCUGGCAUCUACAUUGAAAAACCUCACAAAUGCCUGUAACUCCAGUGCCAAGGGAUCCAAUGCCUUGUUCUGGCCUCUGUGGAUGUACACACACACAUACAUACACACAUGUAUACAUAAAACACACACACAAAUAAAUAUGAAUUAAAUCUUAAAACUUUUUUGCACUUGGAGUGACUAAUAUGAUACUGAUUAUAACAGUGAAAAGUCAAGAACAACCUAAGUGUGCACCAACAGAGAAGGACCAACAUUCACAUAGUGCUAUAUGUACAGGAACUAAGAAAUUGGCUUUGUUUUUCCAAAGGAUAAAUGAGAAUUCAGAACCAAUGUGGAAUUGAAAAAAAAAAAACCAAUUUGCAGAACUAUACAUUAUGAUACCAUAUUCACAAAUAAACAGAGCCUUUGGAACCCAUACUAUCAUAUUUUGUGUGAAUAUAAACUCUUACACACCAAAUUCAUGGCAGCUGUGGCCUAUAUAGAAGGAGCAGAAAUUGGACUGAGAGAAAAAUCUUCAACCUAAUCUAUAGCGCUUGAUUGCUUUAAUUAAAAGGAUGAGAGUGGUGGCUGGAGAGAUGGCUCAGUGGUUAAGAGCAUCGGCUGUUCUUCCAUAGUUUGACCAGGGUUCCAUUCCCAGCAACCACAUGGCAGCUCACAGCUGUCUGUGAUCUAGCACCCUUGCUCAAACUAUACACGCAGGCAAAAAUGUCAAUGCAUGUGAAAAUAAAUUUAUCUUUUAUAUGUGUGUUUUUUAGGUUUAUGUA
Molecule: non-coding RNA, 1511 nt
Organism: Cricetulus griseus (Chinese hamster)
Lineage: Eukaryota; Metazoa; Chordata; Mammalia; Rodentia; Cricetidae
Source: RefSeq, a predicted model, not a curated record